AAGGUACGAGCGCUUGGUUAACUAAGAUAGAAUUUUUUAAGAAAUCCUGUUAGAUCAUUGCUAAGAUGUAAUUUUAAUUUGAAUUUAAAUUUAUUUUUGAAUUAUUCUACUUUCCAUGACUUUUGUGUGUAAAUUAAGCCGUGACGGUUCAUGUUUCGCAGACAAACCAACUCUGGUGAAAUUGUUAUACAUGUUGGAACUUGUUAUUAUACAUUUAAAUUAUCUCAGCUUGUUUUUUUCAGAAUUGCGUGCUAAAGUAAUUUGCUCAUAGUUCCAGCUGGAUAUUUCAAGUAAAUGUUCCGAGAUGAUAUGGUCCAUAUUGAUGUGAUGUCCACAUUGUAUUUGUUUUCAGUUGAUGGAUUUGUUUUUUUUUUUUAAUGCGCAGAUGCAGGUCACUUCCGAGAUAUGAUCUUUAGUGCGGCAGACGUAGCCGAUCACCAAUUCAUAUGCCUGCUCGUUCUCGUUCAAGGUCAAUAUAUAUAUAGGCAGGGCCGCAGGGGAAGAGGUAGAAGGUGAUCAUCGUCCUACUCUUGUUCCCCAAGCACCCUCAAGCCUUAAGGCUCCUAUGACGAUAUUAAGGAGCCGCAUUCCUAAGAGGUAAAACUGUUUUACUAUUACUUCGCAUUUUUAAUGGUCGUUUACUGGUCUCUAGGAAACAUUUUCUGGAGGAAAGUCUUGGUUAAGGAAAGUUGAGUUUAUCCCCAUUCCUAGCUAUGCGUCUUUGUGUGUUCCAGAAGUAUUCAGUGAGACCUUCACUUAGGCCUUGGACUAGAUAUAUCUUUAUGCAAUUUGUGUCAUUAGGUGUUUGCUGGUCCUUGGGUAAAUAUAUAUACUGUAUGUCUCACACAUGAUUUAACAAAUUGGAUCAACAUUCCCCCAACUAUAAUAUCUCUAUUAAUUGUACGCUCACGUAGUUAUGGAUUUGUGUAAGUUUCUUUUAAUAACAACACAUAACUUCUUGUCUAAUGUCUACUUUUGAUUCACUUUUGAUUCACUUUUGAUUCAAACCGAUUAACCAAUUCUUUAUUUGGUGAAAGUGAAUCCGUGAUCUGACAGCAACAACAACUACCACCACCUUUGUCUUUGUCUUCUUGGUUGGAGUUAAUGUGGUUCAUGAUCUGAUGGUAACAAGUCAGUAGACUCAGUACAUUUAAAUUUCAUUUCGAUGAAUAGCUCUCCUCGUAUUCAUACACAUUUAUAAAAUUUAAAAUAAUAUAUACAGUAAUAUUUUUACAUUUAUUACGUUUUUUUGUCUGAAUGAAUUAAAAGCAGUGGUGGUGGGAUCAUAAUGCAUCUUAUAGCAGAAGGUGAGAUUGAAAGCAGUAGUGGGAAUCAUGCAAUCGACACAUUGGUUCCUUUAUUUAAUUUGAAAGAAAAAAAUGAAGGGACCACACACACUGUUCAUAAGCACAACCACACAUGACACCAAGUUAAAGUCUUAUGCAGAAAACCUCUUCUCUUGUCUCCUAAUGGGGCAACGAUUUUCAUGAAAUAAAUAAAUAGAAAUCUUGAUAUUGUGUUAUAACGAAGUUAAGUUUCGAUGAUACGGCUAAGUAAGGUAUUCUUUGGAGAGCAAGAAAGAGUGAUGGCCCAACACAUCUUUUAAUUAAACCGGGACCUCUCAGACCUAACUCUUUUGAUCAUUGUGAUUGUGAGUUCCAAUCCAUUUGGUAGAUCCAAAGAUGUAUUGGUGCAUUUGAUAAAUAUCCAAAGAUUAAUAGGAUGUAAUAUGUUAGGUCACGAGCUCCUCCUGUAUGGACCAUAGUACAUGUGAUAUGUAUGCAGUAGCAAAGUCCCAAACAAUUAAUUCAAACACAUGCCUUCAGUGGAAAGCUUUAAGCCUCUUUUGAAUUGUUGUAAGAUAUAGGUGUGUGAUAUGAUGUUGGAACAAAAGUGCAACUAAAGUCACCAAUUUCAAAAAACUUUGAAAAACGAAUAUUAAUGACUUAGUGCAUAUGAACCGAAAGAUAUAUGAGUAUGGUAUAUAUUUCACAAAAGCAAGAAUUCUUUCUUUAUAACAAAUUGAAUUAUAGUGGUGCCUUUAAGGAAAGAUGAAGUUUCUAGGUAAGGCACCCUUUAAGAUUCUUACAAUGGUUAUGGAUUUAUUUUCUUCUUUUGAAAUGAUGAUAUACAUCACAUGAAUACACACCAGCACCAACUUUAAGUUGAAUAAAAAGUUAUUUUAAAGAGGAAAGAAAGGAUACAAUACAACAAAGUCAAGGUGCAAUGUCACUUGUUCUUAAUCAAAGAGGAAACCACAGUUCAAGACUUUUUUGUUCUUUGGAUAGACACUUCAUAUUACAAAUAUUACACUUUGAUUAAUUGUAUGAGAUAGACACCCAUUAGUUAAUGUCUCGUUACGAUGUUAGUCAUCUCAUAAUACACAUCAAACUCGCAUGAGGAUCAAUAUCGAUCUUAUGAACCAAACACGUAAAUCGUGCACCAUGCCUACUCUUUUACUUUGCAAAAUCUACUUUUCCAAAACUGGUAUUUGUAAAAACAAAUUAAGAUGGUGGAGAUUUGAAUGCUUCUAAAAGACAAAGGCAUAUUGUUUUAACUUUUAAUGCGUGGGAAAGAAAAUAUAACAAAGCACAAAAAUGUAAAGAAGAAGUAGGAAAAAAGAGAGGAAGGACAUAUAUCAAAGUAGGAAUUAAUUCUUGUGCGUCACUUUAUAUCUGAUAUCAUCUUCAGGGACGAAUAUGUCUCCAUCUCUCUUUCUUCAUCUCUUGGGUUCUCUGUGUUUUUAUUAUACAUAAGGAUUGAUGCUUUAAUUUUUAGUUUAUUUUGAU
Molecule: long non-coding RNA, 2789 nt
Organism: Brassica napus (rape)
Lineage: Eukaryota; Viridiplantae; Streptophyta; Magnoliopsida; Brassicales; Brassicaceae
Exons: 3
Source: RefSeq, a predicted model, not a curated record